GUCGACCCUGCGGGGCCGCCACUGGAUGUUGAUGUUGCUACGAAGAUGAUGACUAUCGCGGAGGGGCUCACUAGUCUGGAGAUCCAGGCUGAACUUGAUGGCUUCUUUGCCGAGUCUACUUAGCCCACUUCGUUAGCGAUCAGGAUUCCGUGUUUUUCAGACAAUGCAUUCGAAUAAUUUCGAUUUGGUUGUAAGCUUUAUGAGAGCACAAAACUUAUUCUUUAUUUCAUGACGCUUGGAUGACAUUUAUAUCAUUCAUUUAUUUCAU
Molecule: long non-coding RNA, 268 nt
Filed under: Hordeum vulgare
Lineage: Eukaryota; Viridiplantae; Streptophyta; Magnoliopsida; Poales; Poaceae
Description: long non-coding RNA (HVUL_LNC003161)
Source: RNAcentral